AACAAACCAAUCUUUUACUUUUUAUCUAUAAUGUUUGACCCUUUAUCUUAUUUAAAAGAAAAUUGUGAUUAAUAUUUUUGUUUUUAUUAGAUGAUAAAUCAUGAAUAAUACUUUACGUAUAACUAAUUUUUUUAUUUUCUUAAAACUUUUAAAUAAGACAGAUGAUCAAACGCUGGAUACGAAAACCGAAAGAUUGGUUUGUU
This 203-nucleotide microRNA precursor is filed under the name Oryza brachyantha (malo sina). RNAcentral's name for it is "MIR812 microRNA precursor family". It matches the Rfam family "MIR812 microRNA precursor family". The record is from Rfam by way of RNAcentral. Lineage: Eukaryota; Viridiplantae; Streptophyta; Magnoliopsida; Poales; Poaceae.